This 900-nucleotide ribosomal RNA is filed under the name Crenosoma petrowi. RNAcentral describes it as "partial large subunit ribosomal RNA". It matches the Rfam family "Eukaryotic large subunit ribosomal RNA", at positions 108 to 923 of the family's 3401-position model. The record is from RNAcentral. Lineage: Eukaryota; Metazoa; Nematoda; Chromadorea; Rhabditida; Crenosomatidae.
CCCAGCGCUGAAUCUUUCGAUGUUACAUCGUAAGAAAUGUAGCGUAUAGGUGUAGUUAUCGGUUUGUUUGGCGUAUCCAAAGUUCCUUUGAUAGGGGCCAUAUUCCAGAGAGGGUGCGAGACCUGUGCGGAUAGCGGAACAUGCCGUAUGAUUAUACCUUGGAGUCGGGUUGCUUGAAAGUGCAGCCUUAAGUGGGUGAUAAACUUCAUCUAAGGCUAAAUACGGACGCGAAUUCGAUAGCAAACAAGUACUGUGAAGGAAAGUUGCAAAGAACUUUGAAGAGAGAGUUCAAGAGAACGUGAAAUCGUUGAAGUGGAACCGGAGAGAGUUGACGUAGUAUGGUGGAUAAGUAUUGCAAGAAUCGCUUCAAAAAAUGUGAACGUGAUCGAGCAGUAUGUAUGUCACCAAUGACUGCGCUGACAGCAUCGACUACACGCUCUGAACCGUGUUGACGUGUUGCCUACUCUAGUAUAUAGAGUGGUGUCUUGUGUUACGUGGUGAAGUUUGUUGUUAUGUUGAUGUUGAUACGAGGAGCAUAAUUAUACGACGAGUAUUAAUUAUGUGUGUCAGUGUAAAAGUCGACCACCUCUCCGACCCGUCUUGAAACACGGACCGAGGAGUGUAACUUGUACGCGAGUCAAUGGGUGAAAAACCUUAAGGCGAAAUGAAAGUGAAGGCACGGUUAACCGGCUGACAUGGGAAACGUCCGGCGGCUUGUGUUGACGAGACGUUACACCAUGGCCCUGUCUUGUCUGCAUGCAGAUGGGCAGCGGUAGAGCGUACAGGUUGCGACCCGAAAGAUGGUGAACUAUGCCUGAGCAGGACGAAGCCAGAGGAAACUCUGGUGGAAGUCCGUAUCGGUUCUGACGUGCAAAUCGAUCGAUAGACUUGGUAUAGGGG